Molecule: non-coding RNA, 43 nt
Filed under: Schistosoma margrebowiei
Lineage: Eukaryota; Metazoa; Platyhelminthes; Trematoda; Strigeidida; Schistosomatidae
Source: RNAcentral
AUCCAGUUGACGAGUUCAAAACAGGACGAAACGAAUCUUGUAU